This 481-nucleotide ribosomal RNA is filed under the name uncultured Glomus. Its description in RNAcentral is "SSU rRNA". It matches the Rfam family "Eukaryotic small subunit ribosomal RNA", at positions 575 to 1060 of the family's 1831-position model. Lineage: Eukaryota; Fungi; Glomeromycota; Glomeromycetes; Glomerales; Glomeraceae. The record is from RNAcentral.
CGCGGUAAUUCCAGCUCCAAUAGCGUAUAUUAAAGUUGUUGCAGUUAAAAAGCUCGUAGUUGAAUUUCGGGGUUAGUAGGUUGGUCAUGCCUCUGGUAUGUACUGGUCUCACUGAUUCCUCCUUCCUGAUGAGCCGUAAUGCCAUUAAUUUGGUGUUGCGGGGAAUUUGGACUGUUACUUUGAAAAAAUUAGAGUGUUUAAAGCAAGCUAACGCUUGAAUACAUUAGCAUGGAAUAAUGAAAUAGGACGUUCGAUCCUAUUUUGUUGGUUUCUAGGAUUGACGUAAUGAUUAAUAGGGAUAGUUGGGGGCAUUAGUAUUCAAUUGUCAGAGGUGAAAUUCUUGGAUUUAUUGAAGACUAACUACUGCGAAAGCAUUUGCCAAGGAUGUUUUCAUUAAUCAAGAACGAAAGUUAGGGGAUCGAAGACGAUCAGAUACCGUCGUAGUCUUAACCAUAAACUAUGCCGACUAGGGAUCGGAUGA